UACAGAGGGUGCGAGCGUUGUUCGGAAUUAUUGGGCGUAAAGCGCGUGUAGGCGGCUUUGCAAGUCGGGUGUGAAAGCCCUCGGCUCAACCGAGGAAGUGCGCCCGAAACUGCAUGGCUUGAGUACCGGAGAGGAUGGCGGAAUUCCCGAAGUAGAGGUGAAAUUCGUAGAUAUCGCGAGGAACACCGGUGGCGAAGGCGGCCAUCUGGACGGAUACUGACGCUGAGACGCGAAAGCGUGGGUAGCAAACAGG
This 253-nucleotide ribosomal RNA is filed under the name uncultured bacterium. RNAcentral's name for it is "partial 16S ribosomal RNA". It matches the Rfam family "Bacterial small subunit ribosomal RNA", at positions 524 to 776 of the family's 1533-position model. The record is from RNAcentral.